AGAGUUUGAUCCUGGCUCAGAACGAACGCUGGCGGCAGGCUUAACACAUGCAAGUCGAACGCACCGCAAGGUGAGUGGCAGACGGGUGAGUAACGCGUGGGAACCUUCCCUGUGGUACGGAAUAACUUCGGGAAACCGAAGCUAAUACCGUAUAUCCCCUCCGGGGGAAAGAUUUAUCGCCAUAGGAUGGGCCCGCGUUGGAUUAGCUAGUUGGUAGGGUAAUGGCCUACCAAGGCAACGAUCCAUAGUUGGUCUGAGAGGAUGAUCAGCCACGCUGGGACUGAGACACGGCCCAGACUCCUACGGGAGGCAGCAGUGGGGAAUAUUGGACAAUGGGCGCAAGCCUGAUCCAGCCAUGCCGCGUGAGUGAAGAAGGCCUUAGGGUUGUAAAACUCUUUUGGCGGG
RNAcentral lists this ribosomal RNA (405 nucleotides) under uncultured bacterium. RNAcentral's name for it is "bacterial SSU rRNA". It matches the Rfam family "Bacterial small subunit ribosomal RNA", at positions 8 to 443 of the family's 1533-position model. The record is from RNAcentral.